This 397-nucleotide ribosomal RNA is filed under the name uncultured bacterium. Its description in RNAcentral is "bacterial SSU rRNA". It matches the Rfam family "Bacterial small subunit ribosomal RNA", at positions 29 to 431 of the family's 1533-position model. The record is from RNAcentral.
AUUGAACGCUGGCGGAAUGCUUUACACAUGCAAGUCGAGCGGCAGCGCGGGGCAACCUGGCGGCGAGCGGCGAACGGGUGAGUAAUGCAUCGGAACGUACCCCGUCGUGGGGGAUAACUACCCGAAAGGGUAGCUAAUACCGCAUACGACCUGAGGGUGAAAGCGGGGGACCGAAAGGCCUCGCGCGAUGGGAGCGGCCGAUGCCGGAUUAGCUAGUUGGUAGGGUAAAGGCCUACCAAGGCGACGAUCCGUAGCUGGUCUGAGAGGACGACCAGCCACACUGGAACUGAGACACGGUCCAGACUCCUACGGGAGGCAGCAGUGGGGAAUUUUGGACAAUGGGCGAAAGCCUGAUCCAGCCAUUCCGCGUGAGUGAAGAAGGCCUCGGUUGUAAGAC